RNAcentral lists this ribosomal RNA (466 nucleotides) under uncultured bacterium. RNAcentral describes it as "bacterial SSU rRNA". It matches the Rfam family "Bacterial small subunit ribosomal RNA", at positions 330 to 793 of the family's 1533-position model. The record is from RNAcentral.
UCCAGACUCCUACGGGAGGCAGCAGUGAGGAAUAUUGGUCAAUGGCCGUAAGGCUGAACCAGCCAAGUAGCGUGAGGGAAGACUGCCCUAUGGGUUGUAAACCUCUUUUAUGCGGGGAUAAAGGUGUCCACGUGUGGAUGUUUGCAGGUACCGCAUGAAUAAGGACCGGCUAAUUCCGUGCCAGCAGCCGCGGUAAUACGGAAGGUCCGGGCGUUAUCCGGAUUUAUUGGGUUUAAAGGGUGCGUAGGCGGAGUGUCAAGUCAGCGGUAAAAUUUCGGGGCCCAACCCCGUCGUGCCGUUGAAACUGACGCCCUUGAGUGAGUGAGAAGUAAGCGGAAUGCGUGGUGUAGCGGUGAAAUGCAUAGAUAUCACGCAGAACUCCGAUUGCGAAGGCAGCAUACCGGCGCGCAACUGACGCUCAUGCACGAAAGCGUGGGUAUCGAACAGGAUUAGAUACCCCAGUACG